CAAGCAAAUUCCAGAUCAGAGCUCAGGCAUGGAAAAGCAAGCAGAAUUCUCAGCGGAGGACACAGGCCAGGAGAAGCCUGGUGGUUGGGAUUCGCCUAGCAGAAUGUAAGGGAGGGUGGAGACAGGCAGAGGCUGGGCAGCCGUCAGCCUGAAUGGAGAGUUUCAAGAGCAGUGAGAGACCCUACUUCAAGGUGGAGAACCAAUGGAGGAAGACACCUGUCCUCUUCUGGCCUUUGCACACACAGGUGUUCACAGAUGUAUAUGCCCUCCACCCCACACACGUGCACUAAAAGGAAAGGAAGAUGUCCCUAAUACUCUGCUGUCUGAGGUCUCCUGGCAGCAGCAGAGGAAAGAGCUACCAUGCCAGCAGCUGAGGGAAUGAGAGGA
Molecule: long non-coding RNA, 387 nt
Organism: Meriones unguiculatus (Mongolian gerbil)
Lineage: Eukaryota; Metazoa; Chordata; Mammalia; Rodentia; Muridae
Exons: 3
Source: RefSeq, a predicted model, not a curated record